GUUAAUGUGCUUAAUCCAAAACAAAGCACUGAAAAUCCUUGGAUGAUAUUUUUUCCCCCUUG
This 62-nucleotide transfer RNA is filed under the name Mus terricolor (Earth-colored mouse). Its description in RNAcentral is "partial tRNA-Phe". The record is from RNAcentral. Lineage: Eukaryota; Metazoa; Chordata; Mammalia; Rodentia; Muridae.